Non-coding RNA from Schistosoma mansoni, 46 nucleotides. The record is from Rfam. Lineage: Eukaryota; Metazoa; Platyhelminthes; Trematoda; Strigeidida; Schistosomatidae.
GCACUGCUGAGGAGUCCCAAAAUAGAACGAAACGGCCUUCUGGUGC